Long non-coding RNA from Onthophagus taurus, 347 nucleotides. RefSeq lists it as uncharacterized. The record is from RefSeq and is a predicted model, not a curated record. Lineage: Eukaryota; Metazoa; Arthropoda; Insecta; Coleoptera; Scarabaeidae.
UUGGCUUGAUUCUCAAGGAAGGUCAUCAGCUGUACAUACGAGAAUAUUAAAGAGUAAGAAAUCCCAGUAAUCGACGGGAAAUCCAAGAGAUCUUAAACCUUCGAGAUUUUCAGAGAAUGUGUCUAUUAACAGGCGAUAUGCUUUGGAUGAACUCUCUUGUUUAAUGUGUUUGGAAAGCUAUUGGAUAGUUGGCAUCGGUCAUUGGUAAACCCUUGACCAAGUUGAGCGGCUCUCCCGAUAAGGACGUCAGGAGAUACUGAUAUUUCGCUACGUCGGACAACGAAGCGUUGCUAUCUACCAUUGUGGUAAAGAGGUCAUAAAAACUUGGCCAGGCUUUAUAAUCUCCC